This 219-nucleotide unclassified non-coding RNA is filed under the name uncultured Tomentella. RNAcentral's name for it is "sequence contains ITS2". The record is from RNAcentral. Lineage: Eukaryota; Fungi; Basidiomycota; Agaricomycetes; Thelephorales; Thelephoraceae.
ACACCUCAACUCUCAUGGUCCGCCGUGAUGAGCUUGGACUUUGGGGGUCUUGCCGGCCUAGCGUCGGCUCCUCUCAAACGGAUCAGCCUGCCAGUGUUUGGUGGCAUCACAGGUGUGAUAACUAUCUACGCUUGUGGUUUCCUACCAUGUAACCUUCAGCAAUGGGGGUUCGCUGGAGCUCACAGAUGUCCCUUCCUUUGUGAGGACAGCCUUUUGAAC